CUCCCUCCCGCAGCCGCCUCGCUCCCUCCCACGCACCCGCCUCCCUUCCUCUUCCUCUCCCCCACCUCUCCCUCCACCAGACCUCGCUGCCCCGCCCACUUCGCCACUGCCGACGCCCCUCAGACGUCGCUGUCAUGGCUCAGCCAUCUCCCAGCACGCUCCUCCCCUUCCCUGCUCCUCCCCUUCUCCACUGCAGCCGCCGCCGCGCCCCUCCCCUUCUCUACUGCAGUCGACAUGGCGCUCGUACGGGGAGGAUAGGCAGACAGAAGCGUUCUCCCUCUGUGUGGCCGUCGUGGUGCCCACCCGCCUCGUCACCGCCGAUGAUGACGGCCGGCUCCCGCUCCUCUUCUCGGGCCGAGGAAGGCGGCGAGGGGCCCGCCGUGGACCGGUUCGACCCCGGCGCGCCGCCAUCCCCAAGCACUGCCAGAUGCGAUUAUCUGCAGGUCAGUCGGCCGUGUCGGCCUCAUGUACCCAGCACGAGAUGAAAGAUGGAUUUAGAGAAGGGAGGGAGCAGGAGGAGAAGAGGAAGAAGACACCGUACCACCUCCAUGCACCUCCAAUUUCUCUAUCCUUUUCUUGCAGAAUAGGGAUGGGCAAUUGGUGAAUAUACUGAACGGAUACAUUCACUAGAAAUGAGGGGCUGUUGAUGUUGUGGGCUUGAUUGGCUUUGCAGGUUCCAACCAGAUUGCUUUGCAGGCCCAUGUUUGUUGGUGCCACGAAAUGGCCGUGCCACCGCUUGUGUGAGCCAUGACAGCGCUGCCCGCACGCCUGCCCCAAAAUGCUGCCCCGACCCGAGCCGCCACUGUUCGUCCGGAGAAGUGCGGGAAGAAGAAGAUGGGUAGUAGUGCAUGGCAACAGGGAGAGACUCAUAGCAUUUUGUGAAGUUGCAGCGACACUAGAUGGUUUGGCUGGUCCACAACACCGUCUCAGGAAUGCCGCCAUGGAUGCCUCGACUGGACAGAGCACAACGCGCCUCAUCCUUGCUCCCGCACUAUGAUGUCUUCUCCUCCUGCAAUCGGCCGCGCCGAUCGAUCAGGUAUGGAUGAGAUGUUUUAUGGGUUUUGGUACCCCAAUGGUCUUGCACUAGCCACAGACAGCUUUGGAUUUGUGCCUUGGUUCAGGUUUAUAAAGCGUGGCAUGGCACAUGUACUAUAUUAUUGAGCUAUCAUCUUCUGGUUCUGGAUUUAUGGUGGCGGUAGUAUUGACGCUGAAGGAAUGGGAGAGAAAGACAAGCUUGCUCUUGUGCUACCGCUAGGUGAGGUGAUUGACUCGGGGGUGUCUUUUCUCAAAAAAGACAGGCUUAACCAUGAGAGCAUGAGAUCUUUGCACCUGUUGUUUGAUGCGUUUGUGCUCGUCGGCGGGACGGUGCAAGGUGCAACUCCGACGCGAUUCCUCGCCGGUUGGACGGCGUUCAGGCGCAACCCCGGCGCGCACUGAGUAUUGCCUCAGCUACAACCUCCCUCGGUGAGCUCCAUCUUCCUCCUGUUCCUCUUCUUUGGCUACUGUAUGUGACAUCAAGAAAUAAGAGAUGGAUGUUCCUACAAGCCUCCUCAGAGCUCAGCGAUUCUCGGCCGUUGGAUCGUUCCCCUUGAUGUGUUUUCGUCCGUCCGAUCAAGAUCUGGAGAAGGCUGGGCCGUUGGAUCUAGGGCAAACACUGCUAGAAUGAAUAAUUUCACUCUGUUUCGUGCCACCGUGCGUUAUUUUGGUGCCCCACCGAGGGUAUUCUCGUCAUUUUGCUUUGUCUGUGGCGGUGGUGUUCGUGCUAGGGCGAUGAUGAUUAACUGUGGCUGAAAUAAGUGUGCCUUUGAGCAAUUGAGGUACCUAUGGGUAUCAAGUUGGAUCCUCCCUGUUGUCUCUAGAAUCAUCUUUGAUCCUGUGAUACCUAUUGAUCUGUCCUUGGAUGGUCAUUCUUGUUGAUUGAUAACCAGGGAAGCUCCAUUGUAUAAACAGAUUGAUCUGGUGAUAAGAGAUGAUGGGGGUAGGUUAUAUGAUCGAGGAAAGGCGAAUCUGAGCCCACUAUGCAAUGAACAUCAAACCCUUUUUAUUUGUAUUUAAAGGCGUUGCUUACUUAUGCUCCAGUGUUUAUAGCCAUCUUGUGUAAAGAUUUAUUCUCUCUUAUAACUUUAUUGCAUAUAAGUUGUUCUUGAUCUUUUAUUGUUCUUUGUUGGUCCUUGAUUUAGUCUGGUUAGGAACUCUUCUCUCUCUUAUGUAAAGAUUUCUUCUCUCUCAUACCAAUGUUUGUCCAUGUAGUAACAGAUAUAUAUUUCAAGCAUGACAUGAAUAAACCUGAAUGGUCUUUGAGAUGAGAUGCAUGGUUGUACAAUAUAGGGUACUAAGUUAGAGAUCGGCUUUCCCUAUGAAUGCAAACUAUUGUUGGCUAUAAACAUGUCUGCCUCCUAGAGUGUUUGGCCUAAUUAGUUAUUGGGUUGAUUUUGGUAGUUCUACUUUUUUGAUGCCAACAAUAUGCAAGUUAAUGUUCAGGGUGUGCUUUGGCCUUGGGAUUCUUUACUGUUUUUAUUCUAGAUGUGGUGGUCUUAUUAGUCAGUAUUCAGUGAAUAUAGUUUGUGCCUAUGUAUGCAAACUUUUCUUUCUUUCUUAGAAAGCUGCUAUUUUCAUUUAUUUGGAGAGGACCUCUGAAUUUUCAUUGCACAUGAAACGAGCCGCUGUCACUACCCAGCACAUGAGUACUCAAUGUGUGUAUUUUGAGGUAUACGUCUUCAAAAGAAAUUCGACUCUAUAUUAUAUGGGGAACUAUAGUUAGUAGUGUGUAACUGGACUCCUAUUUAUAGCAGUGGCAUAGCUGAUACUGGUCUCUAAUUUAUCAUUCCUUCUAGCUCUAAAAUACAUAUGUUUUUUCUAUGAUGUACUACUCAACUAUGCGUGCUAAACAGAGCAUGGUGACUACUAAUUCCUCAUGAGCUUCUUAAUAUUUGUCUCUGCACCAAGGAGGCAAUAAACAUGAACCAGAUAACUGUAUUUUUUCCCUAUUUUCGUUGUAUGACAGUACAUCUCCAUUGUGCUUACUUUUACUUUUAUUUGCCAGGUCUGCAUAAAAUCAAGUGACUGUUGUACUCCCAAUUCAAUUAGCACGUUUCGGUUUGAUCCCUGCAUUUUUUGGCAAAUUUGUGUUCAUGAUAUCUCCAGUUUACUCCUAAUGUCAUCCUUUGUGCUUCUCAGAUCUGCCAGCUCCAUGGAGACAUGGAACCCCUCAUCAUUUUGUUGGACUAAGUGUGGAGUUACUUGUGCAAGUCACACCAUCAGCAAACACAUAAAGAUUCCCGUUGUUGUCUUUGUAGUGGAAGGUACCACCUGGUGGUAUGUUGCUAUUUUCAGUUUGCUCUGAACAAAGACAUGUAUAGACUUUAGAUUUUAAUACAUAUCUCUGUCAUAAAAAGUAA
This is a long non-coding RNA of Triticum aestivum (bread wheat), 3398 nucleotides long. RefSeq lists it as uncharacterized. The record is from RefSeq and is a predicted model, not a curated record. NCBI's taxonomy places the organism in Eukaryota, Viridiplantae, Streptophyta, Magnoliopsida, Poales, Poaceae. The transcript is spliced from 9 exons.